GAUUGCUUUCAACCCACCUUGAAUUAUUGCCAGGGUAUACGAGAAAAAAACAGCUACAACUGCCUUACAUUAUCAUUAAAAAAAUCAAUUUGUAAUUAUGUGCGGCAAAAACUGCGUGUGUGUAUAUAAAAAAAAUAUUCCAGCAGAAAAUGUGAAUACGAGUAUUCAUAUAAAUUUUCCAGCUAAGUGAAAAAUGUGUUAAGUGUAUUAAAAUUAAAUUUCAUUUUCGUACUCUCCGCUCGAGCAUAUGCCGGAUGUAUAUACAUAUAUAUAUAUAUAUAUGUAUCGGGUGUGUGUCCGUGGGCGUGUUGCACUUUUGCAAGCAACGACAACGAUAACAACAAAAAUUGCCGUUAAGGCCGGCGAAUUAAUGCGACAAGAUUUACAUGCGAAAUCUACGCGUGACAGGCGAACGCUUCGAUAGGCGUUGGAGCGUGGCACGAACAUGAACAAGAACUGUUGUAAAAGCAGCAAAUACCCCCUCGAAUUGAACUUUUCAUGGUUCACGUUAUCAGGAGUCGUCGUUGCCGAUUUGGGCUAAGCUCUGGAUUUGAAGACGUUGUCAGUGAAGCUUAUCAUACAUAUGUUCUGGACUUAUCAAGAAUUGGCGACGUUUUCGUUCCCUAGAAAGACUGCUCAUGGACUUAUCGCUAAAUUAAUCCCAGAUUUCUGCAUUGCUUAUGCCAAGGCUUCUUCCGCUUAACCACUUGACAUUGCGCUCCUUCUGGCUCCGAUUGCUCUUCUUAGAGGAACUUUGGCGCGUGCAACUAAGACGCAUGCCACACGAAACCGAUAAGAAAGCAAAUCCGCACACAUGAGACACGACACAGAAACAAAACAAAUACACGAAAUCCUUAAAGGAAUGUGCGCCAGGCCAAAGGCAAAGCUCAGUUCAAACCCAGCAAAAUGAUUUUAAAUGAUAUAGGAAAUGGCAACCGGAAUGGCAUGCAACAACAACAGCUCAAGAACUCUUGGGUCCUGACUAGAUCUUGUUAAGAUAAAGUCGCCGUUUUCCCGUCUUGCAAAUAUUAACAAGAAGAUGAUAUAGGAAAUAUGUUCAUUGUGAAUCUUGAACUCCCUUGCAGAGCUAAUAACUGUUACCUGUCGAACGGACUGUUUGGGAGAGGUGUUAAGUGAAAAAAACUUAUGCAAAUUGUGACCAAUAUAUAAAAUAACUAAUUGAAAUACGAAGGGUCUAACAGUUGGAAAUAAGGUAAUGUUCAUUUUGUUUCUAAUGAAAGUUAAUUAGCAAUUCAUUAAAUUAUUAAU
Drosophila virilis is the source of this 1269-nucleotide long non-coding RNA. RefSeq lists it as uncharacterized. The record is from RefSeq and is a predicted model, not a curated record. NCBI's taxonomy places the organism in Eukaryota, Metazoa, Arthropoda, Insecta, Diptera, Drosophilidae.